RNAcentral lists this transfer RNA (68 nucleotides) under Loxodonta africana (African savanna elephant). It matches the Rfam family "tRNA". Rfam says of the family: Transfer RNA (tRNA) molecules are approximately 80 nucleotides in length. The record is from Rfam by way of RNAcentral. Lineage: Eukaryota; Metazoa; Chordata; Mammalia; Proboscidea; Elephantidae.
GCUCUGGUGGCUUAGUGGUUAAGCGUUUGGCUGCUAACCAAAAGGUAGACAGUUCAAAUCCACCAGCU